This 87-nucleotide ribosomal RNA is filed under the name Coutoubea ramosa. Its description in RNAcentral is "partial 5.8S ribosomal RNA". It matches the Rfam family "5.8S ribosomal RNA", at positions 73 to 154 of the family's 154-position model. From Rfam's summary of the family: 5.8S ribosomal RNA (5.8S rRNA) is a component of the large subunit of the eukaryotic ribosome. It is transcribed by RNA polymerase I as part of the 45S precursor that also contains 18S and 28S rRNA. Functionally, it is thought that 5.8S rRNA may be involved in ribosome translocation. Lineage: Eukaryota; Viridiplantae; Streptophyta; Magnoliopsida; Gentianales; Gentianaceae. The record is from RNAcentral.
UGCAGAAUCCCGUGAACCAUCGAGUCUUUGAACGCAAGUUGCGCCCGAAGCCAUCAGGCCAAGGGCACGUCUGCCUGGGCGUCACGC